UUGGUUUGCUGCUGCUUGCCCUGCUGCAUGCACUCACUGACUGCAUUACAAGCUCAAAUCUCAUGGCCAGAGAUUGCUUGUUGGUUUUAGGGUUUCGUUUUAGGAGAGGAGCAGUGUGUUGCGGUGCGAGAUCCUUAGUUUGCGACAGUCAGGACAAAUAUGAAGCGAUUGCAGCGAGUGGUGGUGUUGGAGGAGGGGAGGAUGGUGGAAGACUUGUAGCCGGCUGUUGCCGAGGUGUAGUUCGCCAUUGCGGAGGACGCUGUGGUUGUGGCGUUACGUGUGGCUUAGAGGUGAGCUUCCUGGAGCGUGGCGGGACGACGGACGCGAUACGGUGACAAGUCUCGUGUUGUUGCACUUGCAGUAGUGCGAUCAGCGACAACAUAAAUUUUUUAAAUAAUAUUGCAUGGUUUGAAGCAGACUCCUGCUUGUCUGCAAGAACGAAAAUCUGUCCUCUGCAACGAUGGUUUCCGAGACGAUGUCAAACGAUUUAGAGCUUUCCUUUGAGAAUGUGAAGCUUGCAAAAGCAUAUAAACUGAAGCACUUGAGCAAGGUGGAAGCGGUGUCCACUGACCUUAGCGGCUGCACAUUUAUUCUAGUUUGAACUUGUCCGCUCACACUCAUAAAGAUAUUGAAGUUUAUAUUUAGCUUCUCAAGUUCUUGAAUUUUAUUACGCAAUCUGCGGGUCUCUAUCCUGGAAUGUACGAUUGUUUCUUCUUACAAGACUUUCCAAUGUAAAGUUCUUUGAGCAAGGCUUCCGUGUUGAAGUGUACCGUCUUGAAAAAUCUAAACGUCAGUCAUAGUCUGAGAUAUUAAAAACCAGUGUACUGUUGGGGAUGCAGAAGUGCAAGGUCUCUGUAAUAUUAAACCAAUUCCAUUAUCCACUGAUUUAAUUUUUAGAGUGGUUUUGAGAUAGUGGAUCUGAUGAGUUUCGCUGGGUGGUGGGGUUAGGAGUUUGACUGUUUAUCUUAUCCAAGUUCCGUGAGCCUCCUUGGUUCGGGUAACAUGCGUGCCUGCUCAUGAGAGAGAGUUCCUCCACCACAAUCGUCGAAUCUUCCUAAAAAAGUAAAAAAUUCAUCAAAGUAAUUGGUUUAAGCAAUUAAAAAUCAAGUAGCAUAGAUUAGAAAGCUGAAGAAGUUUAUUUUACAGCAUAGAUAUAAGCGUCAGAUCUGAAUUGGCGAUCUCAGCACUUUAAUGCAUGCCAAGAAUUUGUGUGUAUCCAGGAUCUUCAACAGCUGGAUGCUGCUCAAGAAAUCGUUGAAGAUAUGUACGAGUGGCUUGGUAUCUUCAAUUUGAAAUUGCGAUACUUGGAAGAUAUUGAGUCGUUAUGUACAGAAAUAGAAUCAUAAAUCUCUUUUCCUUCAAGUGAUGAAGUAGGUCCACAGGAUGUCUUAUCGUUAUGAGGCAAUUUGAUACUAGUCUGAACUAUUAUUAUUAUUAUUAUUAUUAUUUUUGAUUUUCUCCUUUUUUAUGGCUCAUAUUUGGUGAAAUUUCAUACUGGUUACCUUAAAGUAAAAUUCAACAAUGAAGUUGCAUCUAUGAUGCUUGGUUUGAAUUAUAUGUCCUAUUCUCGACAUAGUCAUUCAUCUGCUACCUUGAUAUGCCCAGUUCAUUUGAGAAGUCAAUACUUGGUUUUUUGACCUUGACAGAUCAAAGCAAGCAACAGCAACUUAAGUUGCAGGUCCAGAACAAUGCGUCUCUGUGGAAGAAUUGAACACGUUGCCCGAGGAGUUGUCCUACCCUCCUGGGAUCUGGGAGUAGUUCAAAAUGUGCAUAGAGGGGGUCAGUUAAAAUGGCCGGAUCAUGCCUAUACAAGAUUCAAAUGUCCUACUUAUGCACGAAUGCUGCAGCACUUGAUGUAAACCAAAGCAGUAUCCGAUGUGUGUCGCUGGCCGCAGAGAUAGAAUCGCUUCGCUGGUCAUGAACCACUCCCGUGAUCAUGUUCCUUUGAUGUCGUGUCGCCUGAACGUAUGUGCAGAAUCUAGAUAAGAGCUCGCUUGGUUCUCUGCGGAAAGCAUAUAUCAAUUCGCUCAACCUUUUGUUACGUCUUGAGGCGCUAGAGUUUUGAAAUGAGCUUUGAGUCGUCACGAAAGUGUCUCGAAGCACAAGAGCAUGGUUGGACAGUUCACAAGGCGGUACCCCUCAAGGUGCUGGAGGUGCAGACACCUCCACAACGUCUGAAGCUUAUGCUAACAUGAUCCAAAUUUUGAUUCUACCUCUGGUCGACGAGGUGAGGGAACCCUGUUUCAAGAUAAUUGUACUUCCUUUUUAUUUUGUACGCAGUUGUCUAACUUUAUCAAGUAUCUCGGUGAUCCUAUUAAAUUUUUAUACCAUUCACCCUA
This is a non-coding RNA of Physcomitrium patens, 2339 nucleotides long. Lineage: Eukaryota; Viridiplantae; Streptophyta; Bryopsida; Funariales; Funariaceae. The record is from RefSeq and is a predicted model, not a curated record.